Molecule: ribosomal RNA, 474 nt
Filed under: uncultured organism
Description: partial 16S ribosomal RNA
Rfam family: Bacterial small subunit ribosomal RNA
Source: RNAcentral
CGUACAUCCUACGGGAGGCAGCAGUGGGGAAUAUUGCACAAUGGGCGCAAGCCUGAUGCAGCCAUGCCGCGUGUAUGAAGAAGGCCUUCGGGUUGUAAAGUACUUUCAGCGGGGAGGAAGGCGAUAAGGUUAAUAACCUUGUUGAUUGACGUUACCCGCAGAAGAAGCACCGGCUAACUCCGUGCCAGCAGCCGCGGUAAUACGGAGGGUGCAAGCGUUAAUCGGAAUUACUGGGCGUAAAGCGCACGCAGGCGGUCUGUCAAGUCGGAUGUGAAAUCCCCGGGCUCAACCUGGGAACUGCAUUCGAAACUGGCAGGCUAGAGUCUUGUAGAGGGGGGUAGAAUUCCAGGUGUAGCGGUGAAAUGCGUAGAGAUCUGGAGGAAUACCGGUGGCGAAGGCGGCCCCCUGGACAAAGACUGACGCUCAGGUGCGAAAGCGUGGGGAGCAAACAGGAUUAGAAACCCUAGUAGUCCC